GAUCCUGGCUCAGGAUGAACGCUGGCGGCGUGCCUAACACAUGCAAGUCGAACGAAGCACUUUGAUUUGAUUCUUCGGAUGAAGAUCAUUGUGACUGAGUGGCGGACGGGUGAGUAACGCGUGGGUAACCGUGCCUCAUACAGGGGGAUAACAGUUAGAAAUGACUGCUAAUACCGCAUAAGACCACGGAGUCGCAUGACUCAGUGGGAAAAACUUCGGUGGU
This 223-nucleotide ribosomal RNA is filed under the name uncultured bacterium. RNAcentral's name for it is "partial 16S ribosomal RNA". It matches the Rfam family "Bacterial small subunit ribosomal RNA", at positions 15 to 219 of the family's 1533-position model. The record is from RNAcentral.